GAUGAAGAACGUAGCGAAAUGCGAUAAGUAGUGUGAAUUGCAGAAUUCAGUGAAUCAUCGAAUCUUUGAACGCACAUUGCGCCCCUUGGUAUUCCAUGGGGCAUGCCUGUUCGAGCGUCAUUUGUACCUUCAAGCUUUGCUUGGUGUUGGGUGUUUGUCUCGCCUUUGCGUGUAGACUCGCCUUAAAAUAAUUGGCAGCCGGCGUAUUGAUUUCGGAGCGCAGUACAUCUCGCGCUUUGCACUCAUAACGACAGCGUCCAAAAGUACAUUUUACACUCUUGACCUCGGAUCAGGUAGGGAUACCCGCUGAACUUAAGCAUAUCAAUAAGGGAGGA
This 335-nucleotide unclassified non-coding RNA is filed under the name soil metagenome. Its description in RNAcentral is "partial contains 5.8S ribosomal RNA, internal transcribed spacer 2, and large subunit ribosomal RNA". The stretch from base 1 to 120 matches the Rfam family "5.8S ribosomal RNA", at positions 35 to 154 of the family's 154-position model. The record is from RNAcentral.